CGCUCUCAAUGAUCUCUAUUUUAUUCUCCUUGAAUUCUACUGAGGAAAGCGUAACCCUCAAAAUCCAUCUUUUCUACCAUUCUGAAUUCUCCUUUCUCCCUUUCAGUUUUCCAUUCUCAUUCGCUAAUCAGUCUUUAUCGCUAAUCAAUUUCGUCAAUAAUCAGCGCCAAAUCAGCUCCAAUUAGAAGCCUAUAAUCAGUCCACACUUCCAUUCUCAUCACUGUUAAUGAUAUUAACCCGCGUGACUAUCAGUAUAUCACCUAUCCCUGGUAGAGCUAGGGUAGGAAAUUCGGGUGUGCGGCGAUAUUGACCGGCGUGGCUAUUACUCAGCCGUCUCCUCCGACUCCCCACCCCCCCGCUCCCUCACAGACACCCUCAGUACAUUCCAGCAGCAAUUGCGUUGAAUUGAUGCUUUAUUUCUUGCAGAGAAUAAAUGCAGAUUAUGUGGAGGAAACCACUUUACAAAUUCUAAAUGUAAGUUUUUUAGUUAUGGAGUCCCCUCUUAUAUGUGCAAUCAAGGCUCGCUAAUUUGUAUGCAUGGAUGUGCUACUUAAGGUAUGUUGUGUGAUGUAUUAUUUGAAUUUGUAUGUCUAUUUUUUAGAUUGGGGGUUAUUAUGGACACCUUGAAUGGACAUCUUCUUUAUAAUAGGAAUACCAACUUAGCCUACGUAGCAGCCCUCAAAUCCCAGCGUUCUCAAAAUCCUCGAUUCUCCUUCAUCCUCAAAAUUCCUUAAUAUCUUCUUCAACAUUUCCAUUCUAAUCCCCUCACUCAAAUCUCAGUUGUGUUUCACCACAGUCAAUGGAAAGCGUUUCACCAUAAUCAAUGGAAUUCAAUAAUCAGGUCCUUACCAUCUCCAAAUCAAUGUUUCUAUUAUGAUGGUGGCUGGCUUCUCACAAGAUCUCUGUCAUUUGCCUCUCGAUUCUCCAUUCUCCUUAAUCGUUUCCAUGAACUCUACCUCAAUCACCUCUUGAUUCUCAUUGAUUAAUGCCCCCAAUGAAGGUAAAAAGUCUAACAUAAGCUUCUCAAUCGUUAAUUAUACCCUGUCUUUUCAACUAUAAAUUUUUGGGAAAUGGUUUCCACGCAUACCAUCCGAAAUUCUUUUUUUUUGUUUUCCAUGUCAUCUUUGGUUAAUUGGCUCUCAAUUUUUGAGGAGUAACAUAGAUGAGUGGUGGAGAUCUGGGAGCAUCUGCCUUUCCUGACAGGGGGAGCAUAUUUACGUGGACUUGCAGAAUUUAAGGCGGCAAAUGAACCAUGACGGAUAAGUGGUGUUCAGCAUAUGAUUGCAGAACGAUUCUCUUGUCCAUCCAGAGCCUAUUAGGAGGUCAGAUGGCGUUGUUGUCUCACUUUUUCUGCUGGCUCUUUUGUAUGUAUUUAUGAGCUAUUAGGAGCUCUUUUGUCUCACUAUUAGGAGCUCUUUUGUAUGUAUUUAUGUAAUAGUUUUUCUUAUGCUCGCGUUGUAAUGAGCAUUGAGCAGAACUCAAUACUCAGAGCCCUCUCAAUGUGUCUGCUGCUUUGCUCUGGAAGAACCAGGAAGGUUCGUAGAAUUUGCAUUUUGUUCUUGAACUCGAUCCAAUGGUGCGUAGUAUUGGAAAAUGUGGUUUUUACAAA
Molecule: long non-coding RNA, 1609 nt
Organism: Salvia miltiorrhiza (redroot sage)
Lineage: Eukaryota; Viridiplantae; Streptophyta; Magnoliopsida; Lamiales; Lamiaceae
Exons: 6
Source: RefSeq, a predicted model, not a curated record